GCUCAGGAUGAACGCUGGCGGCGUGCCUAAUACAUGCAAGUCGAGCGAACGGACGAGAAGCUUGCUUCUCUGAUGUUAGCGGCGGACGGGUGAGUAACACGUGGAUAACCUACCUAUAAGACUGGGAUAACUUCGGGAAACCGGAGCUAAUACCGGAUAAUAUUUUGAACCGCAUGGUUCAAAAGUAGAAGACGGUCUUGCUGUCACUUAUAGAUGGAUCCGCGCUGCAUUAGCUAGUUGGUAAGGUAACGGCUUACCAAGGCAACGAUGCAUAGCCGACCUGAGAGGGUGAUCGGCCACACUGGGACUGAGACACGGCCCAGACUCCUACGGGAGGCAGCAGUAGGGAAUCUUCGGCAAUGGACGGAAGUCUGACCGAGCAACGCCGCGUGAGUGAAGAAGGUUUUCGGAUCGUAAAGCUCUGUUGUAAGAGAAGAACGAGUGUGAGAGUGGAAAG
RNAcentral lists this ribosomal RNA (457 nucleotides) under uncultured Staphylococcus sp. RNAcentral's name for it is "bacterial SSU rRNA". It matches the Rfam family "Bacterial small subunit ribosomal RNA", at positions 22 to 464 of the family's 1533-position model. The record is from RNAcentral. Lineage: Bacteria; Bacillati; Bacillota; Bacilli; Caryophanales; Staphylococcaceae.